Molecule: unclassified non-coding RNA, 366 nt
Filed under: uncultured fungus
Lineage: Eukaryota; Fungi
Description: partial contains 5.8S ribosomal RNA and internal transcribed spacer 2
Rfam family: 5.8S ribosomal RNA (bases 1-133)
Source: RNAcentral
UGGCUCUCGCAUCGAUGAAGAACGCAGCGAAAUGCGAUAAGUAAUGUGAAUUGCAGAAUUCAGUGAAUCAUCGAAUCUUUGAACGCAACUUGCGCCCCUUGGUAUUCCGAGGGGCACGCCUGUUUGAGUGUCGUGAAUUUCUCCACUCUUCCACUUUUGCGAGUGGUCUGAGCUGGGUUUUGGGGGUCUUGCGGGGUUUCCUCUGGAAGUCCGCUCCCCUUGAAUACAUUAGUGAGGAGCCUCUAGGGUGCCUUGACGUGAUAGAUAUCUACGUCGUGGGGGCCUAGGGUCAGAGCCUUGCUUCAAACCGUCUUCGGACAGAACACUAUUUAACUUGACCUCAAAUCAGGCGGGACUACCCGCUGA